This 1790-nucleotide long non-coding RNA is filed under the name Equus caballus (horse). RNAcentral describes it as "lncRNA (ENSECAG00000052467.1)". The record is from RNAcentral. Lineage: Eukaryota; Metazoa; Chordata; Mammalia; Perissodactyla; Equidae.
AAGGAUGCUUUCCUGCAAUAGAACUUUAUUUUUAAGCGGCAUUUGGGGACAAAAUAACUACAAGACUCAAAAUGGUUGAAAAUGGAUGAAGAAAAUGGUACAGAAAGAGGGCCCCUUCCCCAGAAGGACCCCCAGGGCUCUUCCUCACCCACCUCCUCCUCAAGUUUCCUCUUCCUCCUCCUCAGGGAGUAAACCUUCCUUACAUUUGUACAUGAAAAUGGCAUUUCUUUACUGUCGUUUACUACAUAUCUAAAAUUGUUUCCAAUAUUCCAUCGAAAUGUUUUUUCAACUGUGCAAAUUGCUGUCUUGGGUCACGAUGGAGGACGUUAUGAUUCGCCAUUAAAAACAAUGAAAAUAAUUUUGGUGUAAUGGCUUUUAACCUAACAGCAUGGUUUUCCAGAAGAAUUUAAGGCAUUAAGUGAAAGGUAGGAGGGUAAUGAAAACGCCCCCUGCCAGCAUCCUCAGAGCUUCUCGUUAUUCUCCUCAAAGACAAACCACAUCACGUUCCUUGUGUCACCUCCACAGACAGGCCAUCCACAGAUGGGAAAAUACACAUGGAACCUCUCCAUCCCUUCCUGACACAGGUGAUAGCCUGCUACUCACUCGUUCCUCCACCUGGACUCAUUGUCUUCAAAAAACAUCUCAGAAAUCAUUCCAUGCCAGUACAUAAAGAGCGAGCUGACUUUCUAAAUAGCUCCAUAGUGUUCCAUUUUGCGGCUGUAUUGCAAUCUAUACAAUCGACAGACCCUGCACGGACACUUAUGCUGUUUCUACUCUUUUGUUAGUAAACUCCACCGCUUGCCUUUGGGUUAUUUCACAGGUGUGAGAAUAUGCAGGUAAAUAGGAGGAGGGGCUGAGUCCAAGGCUUUUCACCCAGCGAGUGUUGAUACAUCUCACCGAGUUGUGCUUCAAGGAGGGUGGGUGGUCCCCCUCACCGCCAGGUAGGUGUCAUCCAUCAGUAUGUUGCCACACAUCUGAUCAUUGCCAAUUAGGUGGAAAGAGAGGGAAAAUCCACAAUUAAACUGUGAAGGAAAUAAGGUGAAAUAAUAAUUUUUAAAGGUAGUGGUGAGUCUUACGGUUUUAGAUCAGAUGAUCAGGCCACUAUUGGUUUCCUUUUGCUGCUGUAAAAGUAACCACAAACUUAGGAGCUUAAAAGAAUGAGGAUUUAUCAUCUUACACUUCCAUAGUUCAGAAGUCUGAAAUGGAUCUCAGUGGACAAAGUCAAGAUGCCAGCAGGGCUGCCAGAGAGAGUCCAGAAAGCUCUCUUCUUUGCCUUUGCCAGGCUCCACAGCAUCCUGUGCUCCUCGGCCCCCAGCCCCUUCCCCCAUCUUCAAAGGGAGCAACAGCUGGUGGAGUCUUUCUCUCUUCACAGGUGCUCUUCUGCCUCCUCCCCCAAUUACAAAGACCCUCAUGAUUACACUGGGCCCACCUGGACGAUGCAGGCUACAUAUGCUCGCUCUCUUAAGGUCAGCUGAUUUUUAGCAGCCUUCAUUCCAUCUGUCACCUCACCUCCCCUCUGUGGUGUAACCUGACAUCUUCAUCUGCUCUGGGCAGUAGGUCAUGGACCUCUUUUGAGGGCCAUUAUUCUGCCAACUGCAGCCUCCCAGAGGAGGUGACACUUGGGCUGAGACCAGACGUGCCACGCACAGAGCCAGGGAAGGAGAGUUCUGACAUCAGGAGCAAUGAGUGGAUGGCUGAGGAGCCCAGCUAGAGAUGAAGGACAGACUCCCUCUAGAUUCGUCUCUGAUGUGAUGGUGGAGAACUAUGACUAUGAAGAUUCCAAUUGCAGA